Long non-coding RNA from Gossypium arboreum, 574 nucleotides. RefSeq lists it as uncharacterized. The transcript has 2 exons. Lineage: Eukaryota; Viridiplantae; Streptophyta; Magnoliopsida; Malvales; Malvaceae. The record is from RefSeq and is a predicted model, not a curated record.
GCACCGAAAAAUUGCCCAAUCAGAAUUCUUUGAAUUGCCUGUCCUAUGCAAAAGACAUCAUUUCCCAUUUUACGAUAUCAAUUCUCAGGAAAGCUUGUUCUUCAAAAAACUGUUCAUCUGCUAUGUGAAACUUUCCUUUCUUCUUUCCUUUUCUCCGACCAAUUUCAGUCUGGUUUUUGCAUCCAGUCAACAUUCUUUUGUUUUUCGACAUACACAGGGAUGUUCUUUAGCAGGAAUGGCAUUUUCUCUACAGCUAUUUGUGGUAGCUCCAGUAUCUUAUAAGACAUGUAAAGAAUAUGUUUUAUAUUCUCUAAAUUGAAAUGUAAUUUCUAUAUAUGAAUAAUAUUUUCUAGGUUAGAAAUUUGAAAAUGUAAUAAUAUCAUUUUUUUCCAUUUUCAUUUGUUGAAUAAUAGUAGCAGCUUGUAUUUUUUCCAUUCUAGUACUUCUAGAAUUUCUAUUAGGUUCAGUGGGGAAAAUAUGUAUUUAAACUGUUUUCAUAUCUAUUGGGGUUGUCGAAUUUGUACUAAUAUUAUCUUCUUCUUCCUCUAUUUGAGAAUUAGAAGGAAAAACUAAA